AGAUCAACAUAGCUCACAACACAAAGAGAGUUGUGUUACGCUAUUUGUUCAAGAAUAUCUUAACAAACCAAGCAUAAAUCUGAGGCAGAGUUUUCUGAAUUCUGGGAAAUGUAUAGUCUCACUUAAUUGCUCAUCAGUGAGUAAUAACGUUACCCUGACUUGGAAACCAGAGACUGACUUUAAGGACAGAUACUGGAGUGAUAGUGAGAAAGACUCCGGUGAGUCAGUGCUGUGGACAUCCUUCACUCCCAACAGAGACGUAACCUUCACCUGUAUCGCCACCAGUGCUGAUCAGAAACAGGAGAACAGUAUAACAGUGAAAUGUCCAGAUUCACAGAUUUCUGGAUUAUCUGUAUUUAUUGGGUUUAUUAUUGGAGUCGUUAUAACAGUGUUACUGAUUGCUGUUUGCUGGUGUUGUGAUGUUGGAAAUACUCGCGACUGGAUCACCAGCCUGAAGAACGCAAUAAUGCAAUCAUGUUGCUCUGGAAAUAAUUAGGUAUUUAUGCUUUGAUGUGCUCUAGAAAUUCAUACAGUUGUGUGGAAAAAGUAAUUGCCCCCCUUCUACGGUUAUUGCAUACAUCUUUCAGCCACAACAUUAAAACCACCUGUGUAAUAUUGUGUGGAUAACAUUCAUGCUGCUAAAACAGCUUUGAUCCAUUGAAGCAUGGACUCCACUCGUUGUCCUGUGGUAUCUGACUUCAAGACGUCAACAGGAGAUGCUUUAUGUCCUGUUUGCUGUGAGGUGUGACCUUCAUAGAUCAAUCAUAUGUGAGAAGAGCUGGACAAACUGUCUGAUCAGCAAAAUCAACACCUUAAACUCUUUGUCGCAUUCUUCAAAACAUUCCUGAACAAGUUUGCAGUGUGGCAGGGCACUUUAUUCCACAGGGGCACCUCUCUCAUGCAAAACACCUCUCUCAUGCAAAACAUUUUAUUAAACAGAUUUUUUUAAAUGAAGGAACAAAGUUAAACAACAUACAUUUAACCUUUACCAAAAUCUUAUAACAAACAUUUGAUUACAAUUGUUACUGCCAAGUGUGGCAUAAAAAGUAAUUAGGUUUAGAGAGGUGAUGUAAAAUUUCAAUAAAUCUUUGUCUUUAAAACAUGGAUGACGAUUUAAAAGCUG
Long non-coding RNA from Trichomycterus rosablanca, 1123 nucleotides. RefSeq lists it as uncharacterized. The transcript is spliced from 4 exons. NCBI's taxonomy places the organism in Eukaryota, Metazoa, Chordata, Actinopteri, Siluriformes, Trichomycteridae. The record is from RefSeq and is a predicted model, not a curated record.